Molecule: ribosomal RNA, 245 nt
Filed under: uncultured bacterium
Lineage: Bacteria
Description: partial 16S ribosomal RNA
Rfam family: Bacterial small subunit ribosomal RNA
Source: RNAcentral
GUGCGAACGUUGUUCGGAAUCACUGGGCUUAAAGGGCGCGUAGGCGGUCAAUCAAGUCGGGGGUGAAAUCUUGCAGCUUAACUGUAAAAGUGCCUUCGAUACUGAUUGACUCGAGGGAGGUAGGGGCAGGUGGAACUUCCAGUGGAGCGGUGAAAUGUGUUGAUAUUGGAAGGAACGCCGGUGGCGAAAGCGACCUGCUGGAUCUCUUCUGGCGCUGAGGCGCGAAAGCUAGGGGAGCAAACGGG